ANCNCUUGGUAGGCUUUGCCUACCGGCGGACGGCUCAGUAACACGUGGACAACCUGCCCUCGGGAGGGGGAUAACCCCGGGAAACCGGGAAUAAACCCCCAUAGGUCAUGGAGGCUGGAAGGCGCCAUGACCGAAAUUCCGAAAGGAGCCCGAGGAUGGGUCUGCGGCCUAUCAGGUCGUAGUGGGGGUAACGGCCCCACUAGCCUACGACGGGUACGGGCCCUGAGAGGGGGAGCCCGGAGAUGGACUCUGAGACACGAGUCCAGGCCCUACGGGGCGCAGCAGGCGCGAAAACUCCGCAAUGCUCGAAAGAGCGACGGGGGGACUCCGAGUGCCUACGCUUUGCGUAGGCUUUUCCCGAGCCUAAAAAGCUCGGGGAAUAAGGGCUGGGUAAGACGGGUGCCAGCCGCCGCGGUAAUACCCGCAGCUCGAGUGGUGGCCGCUUUUAUUGGGCCUAAAGCGUCCGUAGCCGGUCUGGUAAAUGCCUGGG
RNAcentral lists this ribosomal RNA (490 nucleotides) under uncultured Nitrososphaerota archaeon. Its description in RNAcentral is "bacterial SSU rRNA". It matches the Rfam family "Archaeal small subunit ribosomal RNA", at positions 55 to 545 of the family's 1478-position model. The record is from RNAcentral. Lineage: Archaea; Thermoproteati; Nitrososphaerota.